RNAcentral lists this transfer RNA (73 nucleotides) under Mustela putorius furo (domestic ferret). It matches the Rfam family "tRNA". Rfam says of the family: Transfer RNA (tRNA) molecules are approximately 80 nucleotides in length. The record is from Rfam by way of RNAcentral. Lineage: Eukaryota; Metazoa; Chordata; Mammalia; Carnivora; Mustelidae.
ACCUUGCUGGCUCAGUAGGUAGAGCAUGUGACUCUUGAUCUCAGAGUCAUGAGUUCGAACCCCAUGCUGGGGA